UACGUAGGGUGCGAGCGUUAAUCGGAUUUACUGGGCGUAAAGCGUGCGCAGGCGGCCCGUUAAGACAGGCGUGAAAUCCCUGGGCUCAACCUAGGAAUUGCGCUUGUGACUGGCGGGCUCGAGUACGGUAGAGGGGGGUGGAAUUCCUGGUGUAGCAGUGAAAUGCGUAGAGAUCAGGAGGAACACCGAUGGCGAAGGCAGCCCCCUGGGCCUGUACUGACGCUCAUGCACGAAAGCGUGGGGAGCAAAC
Molecule: ribosomal RNA, 250 nt
Filed under: uncultured bacterium
Lineage: Bacteria
Description: partial 16S ribosomal RNA
Rfam family: Bacterial small subunit ribosomal RNA
Source: RNAcentral